CCCCCGUAAGCAAUUAACCCUUCGCAAGCUGAGUCACUGGACUUUCGAUAAUACAGGAUUAGACCAUUUAGCUGAAGCAACUCAAGUCUGUAAAUAUGCAUGGGUUUCUGGAGCCUUUGGCAAUGCCUUAUAUGGAUUUCCUGAAUCAUCAGCAGAACACAGAGAGUCUGGCUCUCCCCACCACCCUGCUGCUGGUGUGUAGCUGUAUCAGAGACAUUGCCUGGGAAGACCACGUGGGACCAGCUGUGUCUGAAACUCUGCUGAUUCUCAGGAACAAGGCCCUGAGCUGCACGUCUAGUUUCUCAGCUUGUCCGUUGGGAUGGAGCACCCUGUAGCAGUUAGUCAACCUGUGCAGAAAUGGAUAGCCGAAGAACUGCUUUCAAGCUACACAGCAGGAUAAAGAGGUAACCUGAUUCUUCUGCUUGAGUGGCUUCACGAAGCAGCGAACACUUUUCCUGUCCAUUGUUGAACCCCUCAUGCCUAACCCAGUGCCUAGAACACAGGCUCGUCAUAGAUGUGUGGAAUGAAUGGAUGACAGAAAACAACGAAGAGCCAGUUGUCGGUGGAGGAUCCCAAAGGAGCAGUUCCGCCUUCAUGUUGAAGACUUUCUUUGCCCUGCAUGUUGUAACCACAUAAAGCUAGCUGGGAGCCACGUGGCUGCCCUCAUUGUUGCUCCUUGGCAAUGUUCUCUCUGUGCCAGGCAUCAAACAUGAGCCCCUCAGUGGGAUCCCUGCCCUGUGUGCGCCCCAAUACCUGGACACUUCCUGGAUGCUCCAAGAGGAUGGAGAUUUGCCCCUCCCGACUUUCCCAUGAUUAAUGUUUGUCCGUAGCCUUGUCACAACCAACCUUGGGAGUGUUGCUGGGUUCUGGUGGGGGUCCCUCCUGAGAGAGGCCUUUCUAUUCUGUGAGGUGAAUUGAAGGCUGUCAAACCUUUCGCUCAAACUGGUCUCAUCUGCAUCAAGUCGUAAAGAAAUUCCUUGAAAUGUCUGGUAUGUGGGUGGAAUCCUUUUUCAGUUUUGAAGAAUGACAGAUUUUCCCCUAUCAUUAUUUUCCUUUGGCUGUGUCAAUGGGAGUUUGGAAGAGAGACAGGAUGGGAAGUUCAAUGUGAGGAUUUGAAUGCCUGUCACAGAAUAGAAGUCUGUCCUUGUACUUUUCCUAGUCUCUUUAGACAAAGUCCCCUCCACCUUAUAGCCCUAUGUAUGUAUAGCCCUAUGUAUGUAUGUAUGUAUAACUGCCCCCUUCUCAUCACCAAGCCCUCCCGUUUGGAGAUACAAGAACAGUUUCUCUUCUAUCAGCUCCCUGCUCCCUUCCUGGGCUCCCUAUUAAACAUAUUUUGGAUAUCCUGGCUUUGUUUUUCUCUGUCUCAUAUCUUAUGUCUCAUAAUUUUUUUUCCUUUUCCUCUGAGCUUGGGGAGAAUUUCUUUCAUCUCCAAGUCUUAGAGACUCUGACCAGUCUUUGUAGCUGCUUAGAUCACCAGUGGAACCAUCAACCUUCAAACUUUUACUGGGCUUUACACCCAUCCUGUGAUCUCUCUCAGGAAGGAAGGAGUCAAGCUUAAUACACAAUAUCAACAUGCAUUCCCAAGGCAGACCUGAGAGCUGGGGGAUGGAAGAUGUUAAGCAGACGGUCAGACCGUCUUUGGACAACACUGUCCGUGAAAAUUACCCAGGUAGCUGAGGACAAAGAAAAUGCCUCUAUGGCUUCUUGCCCCACCCAUUAUGCUGGUGAUGAAAACCAUGAAAAUGGAUUCAGCAUAAGGUUUCCUAUUUUUCUUUGGCUAGAGAUAAGGAAUACACUAAUAGCUGAGGCCUCAGCGGGGGCGGAUCCUUGGACAAUACCUUACUUUGGAUUAAAUUUCUUUUCCUAAAUCCCUUAACACAUUAAAAUCUCCUCACUCUGCCUAAACACAGUUCUCCAGAGCCCUUUAUAAAACCUCUCUCUCUUUCUCUCUCACACACAGAUGACAUCUGACCUUUGCCAUCCUACUGUGCCAGGCACCCUUUACUAUUUUCCCUUUGGGUCCCCGUCUGCCAGUGCCACUGAGGAAGGCCCUGCAGCCACCUGAAGUCAACUCUGGUCAUUGCUCUCCAAG
Molecule: long non-coding RNA, 2092 nt
Filed under: Equus caballus (horse)
Lineage: Eukaryota; Metazoa; Chordata; Mammalia; Perissodactyla; Equidae
Description: lncRNA (ENSECAG00000050614.1)
Source: RNAcentral